Non-coding RNA from Danio rerio (zebrafish), 89 nucleotides. The record is from Rfam. NCBI's taxonomy places the organism in Eukaryota, Metazoa, Chordata, Actinopteri, Cypriniformes, Danionidae.
GGCUCUGUGGCGCAAAGGAUAGCGCAUUGGACUUCUAGGCUGUGAACUGAGCCCUUCAAAGGUUGUGGGUUUGAGUCCCACCAGAGUCG